This 986-nucleotide ribosomal RNA is filed under the name Prevotella nigrescens. Its description in RNAcentral is "bacterial SSU rRNA". It matches the Rfam family "Bacterial small subunit ribosomal RNA", at positions 456 to 1454 of the family's 1533-position model. The record is from RNAcentral. Lineage: Bacteria; Pseudomonadati; Bacteroidota; Bacteroidia; Bacteroidales; Prevotellaceae.
CACGUGUGCGCCAUUGCAUGUACCUCAUGAAUAAGGACCGGCUAAUUCCGUGCCAGCAGCCGCGGUAAUACGGAAGGUCCGGGCGUUAUCCGGAUUUAUUGGGUUUAAAGGGAGUGUAGGCGGUCUGUUAAGCGUGUUGUGAAAUUUAGGUGCUCAACAUUUAACUUGCAGCGCGAACUGUCAGACUUGAGUACACGCAGCGCAGGCGGAAUUCAUGGUGUAGCGGUGAAAUGCUUAGAUAUCAUGAGGAACUCCGAUCGCGAAGGCAGCCUGCGGGAGUGUUACUGACGCUUAAGCUCGAAGGUGCGGGUAUCGAACAGGAUUAGAUACCCUGGUAGUCCGCACUGUAAACGAUGGAUGCCCGCCGUUGGCGCCCUGCGCCUGCGGCCAAGCGAAAGCAUUAAGCAUCCCACCUGGGGAGUACGCCGGCAACGGUGAAACUCAAAGGAAUUGACGGGGGCCCGCACAAGCGGAGGAACAUGUGGUUUAAUUCGAUGAUACGCGAGGAACCUUACCCGGGCUUGAAUUGCAGUCGCUGCCCACAGAGACGUGGGCUUCCCUUCGGGGCGUCUGUGAAGGUGCUGCAUGGUUGUCGUCAGCUCGUGCCGUGAGGUGUCGGCUUAAGUGCCAUAACGAGCGCAACCCCCUUUCCCAGUUGCCAUCGGGUGAUGCCGGGCACUCUGGGGACACUGCCACCGCAAGGUGCGAGGAAGGUGGGGAUGACGUCAAAUCAGCACGGCCCUUACGUCCGGGGCUACACACGUGUUACAAUGGCCGGUACAGAGGGACGGUGCAAUGCAAGUUGCAUCCAAUCUUGAAAUCCGGUCCCAGUUCGGACUGGGGUCUGCAACCCGACCCCACGAAGCUGGAUUCGCUAGUAAUCGCGCAUCAGCCAUGGCGCGGUGAAUACGUUCCCGGGCCUUGUACACACCGCCCGUCAAGCCAUGAAAGCCGGGGGUGCCUGAAGUUCGUGACCGCGAGGAGCG